GAUGAAGAACGCAGCGAAAUGCGAUACGUAAUGUGAAUUGCAGAAUUCAGUGAAUCAUCGAAUAUUUGAACGCAUAUUGCGCUCUCUGGUAUUCCGGAGAGCAUGCUUGUUUGAGUAUCAGUAAACACCUCAACUGCCUUUUCUUUUUUGAAAUGGGAGCUGGACUUGAGUGAUCCCAACACUUUUCUCACUGGAAAGUGGCGGGUCACUUGAAAUGCAGGUGCAGCUGGACUUUUCUCUGAGCUAUAAGCAUAUCUAUUUAGUCUGCCUAAAAAACAGAUUAUUACCUUUGCUGCAGCUAACAUAAAGGAGAUGAGUUCUUGUGCUGACUGAUGCAGGAUUCACAGAGACAGCUUUGCGGCUGACUUUGUAAACUCGAUCUCAAAUCAAGUAAGACUACCCGCUGAACUUAAGCAUAUCAAUAAGCGGAGGA
Molecule: unclassified non-coding RNA, 433 nt
Filed under: soil metagenome
Description: partial contains 5.8S ribosomal RNA, internal transcribed spacer 2, and large subunit ribosomal RNA
Rfam family: 5.8S ribosomal RNA (bases 1-120)
Source: RNAcentral